Molecule: ribosomal RNA, 406 nt
Filed under: uncultured bacterium
Lineage: Bacteria
Description: partial 16S ribosomal RNA
Rfam family: Bacterial small subunit ribosomal RNA
Source: RNAcentral
AUUGAACGCUGGCGGCAGGCCUAACACAUGCAAGUCGAACGAGUGGCGGACGGGUGAGAAAUGUCUGGGAAACUGCCCGAUGGAGGGAGAGAACUACUGGAAACGGUAGCUAAAACCGCAUACCAUCGGAUGUGCCCAGAUGGGAUUAGCUAGUAGUUGGGGUAACGGCUCACCAAGGCGACGAGACCUAGCCGGUCUGAGAGGAUGACCAGCCACAAGGGGACGGCGACACGGGCCAGACCCCGUCGGGAGGCAGCAGGGGGGAAUAUUGCACAUUGGGCGCACGCCUGAGUCAGCCAUCCCGCGUUCAUGAAGAAGGCCUUCGUGUUGUAAAGUACUUUCAGCGAGGAGUCGUUACUCGCAGAAGAAGCACCGGCGAACGCAGUGCCAGCCGCCGCGGUAAUUC